Molecule: non-coding RNA, 73 nt
Organism: Potamilus streckersoni
Lineage: Eukaryota; Metazoa; Mollusca; Bivalvia; Unionida; Unionidae
Source: the annotation of a GenBank genome assembly
GCUCCGGUGGCUUAGUGGUUAGAGCGUCUGCCUCGGAUGCGGAAGGGCGCGGGUUCUACCCCCGGCUGAGUCA